GCCAAAUACAUGGAACAUAUGUGCUCUGCUGCAAACACUUCACACGGGAUUGCUUCACAAGUGAUGCCCGCACAAGGAUCACACGAGGAGCAGUCCCCUCUGUGAAGACUUUUUCAAAGAUGUCAUGUGCAAGAAGACAUGCUCCAAGAAGACAACCCUCUGCAUGACCAUGAGAAUGCUCAGCUUCACAGCAGUGGUGGAGAGGACGACAAUCGCCCCUCUGAUGACGACUUGGCCACAACAGCCACGCCGCUGUUAUUGGAGCCAGUCGACCUGACAGAUUAAUGGAAGUGCACGCAUACUUUGCAUGUUGUUCUACUGUAUAUCCUAGAGCUUAAAAAGACACGUAAACACAAAUUACCACACACUGAAAAAAUAUGCCCACUUGAUCAAGGUGGGCUACCACAACAUGGGUAUAAGUUUACUGUAACAAAAAUACAGUUCGUAAAAGUUAUUCUACAAUCCUUUGACAUUCAAAUAGAGUGUCCCUAUAAGAAUGUGCCAGCAAUACAUAAAAUUGAGGAGCUUACUUAACUGGAUGACAAUAUAAGCGGGGUGAUGAAAGCGAGAAUUUAUAUAGCUUCCUGUGUAGGCCAUUAGAUUUGUUGAAGAAAUGUCAAACGUUUCAUAGAAUUCAGUUAUCCCAGCAUAUAAUUACAAGGCUUGCGUUUGUUACUUCUAAACAUUGCAUGAUGUAAAUUUAAAUAAUGGACAUUGAUUAAUAAAUAAUAACAGUAGCAGCAUUCCUUUCGCACUACAACAAUUUCAAGUGCACUCAGACUUUUAAUUCCCGCCAUACAGAUGUCAAGCACAACCCACAAUGACUUAACUGCACAUUUUUGCAUAUACGUACAACGCUCUUAAAAUCGCUAAGAAAUAAAAAACGGAAUUGAAAACCUUCGGCUAGGACAUUUCAAGUUAUAAGCAUUUAUACGAAUGAUUUUUUCGCCACACUGUAGUUAUUGAGCACAUUGUGCAAUUUGUUGCUCACUUUUAACAUUCAGUUGACCUUUAUAUAUAUCAUAAAUUAUUAGUGCUCCAGUUUUUUUAA
Molecule: long non-coding RNA, 1051 nt
Organism: Dermacentor albipictus
Lineage: Eukaryota; Metazoa; Arthropoda; Arachnida; Ixodida; Ixodidae
Source: RefSeq, a predicted model, not a curated record